UAUAUUUUAAAUUAACAAUAUUUAAAUUAUUUUAAAUGUAAAAAAACAUUUAUAAAAAAGAAAGACGAUAAGACCCUAUCGAACUUAACUUUAGUUUAACUGGGGAAGUUAAUAAAUUAAUAUUUUCAUUAAAAUAAAAAUAAAAAUUGACCUAAUACAAUUAAUAAUAUAAUUAAGUUACCGUAGGGAUAACAGCGUAAUAAAAUUUUAUAGACCUUAUUAAAAAUUAAGAUUACGACCUCGAUGUUGAUUUAAUAUUCUAAUGAUUCGCGCAAUAGUGAAUUAAGAAAGUCUGUUCGACUUUUAAAUAAUUACAUGAUUUGAGUUCAGACCGGUGUAA
Molecule: ribosomal RNA, 340 nt
Filed under: Hippasa holmerae
Lineage: Eukaryota; Metazoa; Arthropoda; Arachnida; Araneae; Lycosidae
Description: partial 16S ribosomal RNA
Source: RNAcentral